RNAcentral lists this unclassified non-coding RNA (144 nucleotides) under soil metagenome. Its description in RNAcentral is "partial internal transcribed spacer 1". The record is from RNAcentral.
UCAUAAGUGUUUUAUGGCACUUUUUAAAUCCAUAUCCACCUUGUGUGCAAUGUCAGUCGAUCUUCUUCAUGGAGAUCGACCAAACAUCAACCUUUAUUUUUAACUCUUUGUCUGAAAGAUAUUAUGAAUAAACAAUUCAAAAUA